This 347-nucleotide ribosomal RNA is filed under the name uncultured bacterium. RNAcentral's name for it is "partial 16S ribosomal RNA". It matches the Rfam family "Bacterial small subunit ribosomal RNA", at positions 338 to 682 of the family's 1533-position model. The record is from RNAcentral.
CCUACGGGAGGCAGCAGUGAGGAAUAUUGGUCAAUGGACGCAAGUCUGAACCAGCCAUGCCGCGUGCAGGAAGACGGCUCUAUGAGUUGUAAACUGCUUUUGUACGAGGGUAAACGCAGAUACGCGGAUCUGUCUGAAAGUAGCGUACGAAUAAGGAUCGGCUAACUCCGUGCCAGCAGCCGCGGUAAUACGGAGGAUUCAAGCGUUAUCCGGCUUUCUUGGGUUUAAAGGGGGCGUAGGCGGUCGGAUAAGUUCGAGGGGAAAUCCCGAGGCUCACCUUCGGAAUGGCCUCUGAUACUGUUCGGCUAGAUCGUAGUUGCGGUAGGCGUAAUGUCUUGUGUAGCGGU